Molecule: long non-coding RNA, 209 nt
Filed under: Elaeis guineensis (African oil palm)
Lineage: Eukaryota; Viridiplantae; Streptophyta; Magnoliopsida; Arecales; Arecaceae
Description: long non-coding RNA (EGUI_LNC033663)
Source: RNAcentral
CCACUGUUGUAGAUGUGCGGGUGUGCUAUCAGUGUUGAUUAUUCUUGGCUGGUGAUAGUGGUUCAGUUGCAUUGGGAACACACAACCACUCUAUUAGCAAAGAGUUACUUCAGGAUAAGGAUGGGGUUGGACCUAAUAACUGUUAGGUGAGAGACCUAAUGAUGACCUUACACCUACUUGUAAAUGAUGGGUCGGACUUAACUAAGAAG